AUUGAACGCUGGCGGCAGGCCUAACACAUGCAAGUCGAGCGGAUGAAGGGAGCUUGCUCCUGGAUUCAGCGGCGGACGGGUGAGUAAUGCCUAGGAAUCUGCCUGGUAGUGGGGGAUAACGUCCGGAAACGGGCGCUAAUACCGCAUACGUCCUGAGGGAGAAAGUGGGGGAUCUUCGGACCUCACGCUAUCAGAUGAGCCUAGGUCGGAUUAGCUAGUUGGUGGGGUAAAGGCCUACCAAGGCGACGAUCCGUAACUGGUCUGAGAGGAUGAUCAGUCACACUGGAACUGGGACACGGUCCAGACUCCUACGGGAGGCAGCAGUGGGGAAUAUUGGACAGUGGGCGAAAGCCUGAUCCAGCCAUGCCGCGUGUGUGAAGAAGGUCUUCGGAUUGUAAAGCACUUUAAGUUGGGAGGAAGGGCAGUAAGUUAAUACCUUGCUGUUUUGACGUUACCAACAGAAUAAGCACCGGCUAACUUCGUG
RNAcentral lists this ribosomal RNA (484 nucleotides) under uncultured bacterium. RNAcentral describes it as "partial 16S ribosomal RNA". It matches the Rfam family "Bacterial small subunit ribosomal RNA", at positions 30 to 507 of the family's 1533-position model. The record is from RNAcentral.